ACAACAGAACAAAAAUACAAAUGGCUGCUGCCGCCAUGACACUAUCUCGUCUUCAACUUCUUCACUCUCCAUCUCCAAUUAUCACCAGACCUUCAAAUUUGCUCUCCAAACUCUCUCCUCCUCGAAGUUUUUUGUCACGCGCUUCCACGCGCUCUUCUCCUCGUUCCUUCCACAAUUUCUCCACAGCUCACUGUUCCCGCUCUGACUCAAUCAGGACAGUGUCUCACACUUCUUCGACGAGCGGCUCCAUAGUCGGUGAUCUUCUCGACUAUUUAAACGAGUCUUGGACGCCGUUUCACGCUACUGCUGAAGCGAAACGGUUACUGAUUGAUGCUGGUUUUGAUUUGCUAAAUGAGAAUGAGGAGUGGGAGCUCAAGGCUGGUGGACGAUAUUUUUUUACUAGGAAUAUGUCUUCUUUGGUUGCUUUUGCAGUGGGAGAAAAGUACACUGUUGGAAAUGGUUUUUAUGUUAUUGCUGCACACACUGACAGCCCUUGUCUUAAACUUAAACCCAAGUCUGCGUCAUCCAAGGCUGGUUAUUUGAUGGUGAAUGUGCAGACCUAUGGAGGUGGUUUGUGGCAUACUUGGUUUGAUAGAGACUUAAGUGUUGCAGGAAGGGUUAUAAUCAGAGGUAGUGAUGGUUCUUUUCUGCACAAGCUUGUCAAAGUGGAAAGACCUCUACUACGAGUUCCUACAUUGGCCAUUCAUCUUGAUCGCACUGUGAACAAGGAUGGGUUCAAGCCAAAUCUGGAAACUCACCUCAUUCCACUACUUGCAACCAAAUCAGAGGAAGCAUCACAACAGCCAAAAGAGAAAAGUAGUUCGUCAUCUUCUAAGGCUGCUCAUCAUCCCCUACUUAUGCAGAUUUUGUCAGAAGAGCUGAGUUGUGAAAUUGAUGACAUAGUGAGCAUUGAGCUAAACAUUUGUGAUACCCAACCUAGCUGCCUUGGAGGUGCAAACAAUGAGUUUAUAUUUUCUGGAAGAUUAGAUAAUCUUGCUUCAAGUUAUUGUGCUUUGAGAGCUCUUAUUGAUUCAUGUGGAUCACCUAGUGACAUAUCAAGUGAACACGCUAUUCGUAUGGUUGCUUUAUUUGACAAUGAGGAGGUGGGCUCAGAUUCAUAUCAAGGAGCUGGUGCACCAACCAUGUUUCAGGCUAUAAGACGCAUUGUUGGUUCCUUAGCACAUGAGUACGCUGGUGAGAGUGCUUUUGAGCGUGCAAUUCGCCAGUCAUUUCUUGUAUCUGCAGACAUGGCCCAUGGAGUUCACCCAAAUUUUUCUGAGAAACAUGAAGAAAACCAUCGCCCAGAAAUGCAUAAGGGUCUAGUGAUCAAGCACAACGCAAAUCAGCGCUAUGCUACCAGUGGAGUGACAGCUUUUCUAUUUAAAGAGAUUGCAAAAAUUCAUAACCUUCCAACUCAGGAAUUUGUGGUAAGAAAUGAUAUGGGAUGUGGAUCCACCAUAGGGCCCAUUCUCGCUUCAGGGGUUGGCAUUCGAACUGUUGAUUGUGGCAUACCUCAGCUUUCCAUGCACAGCGUGAGAGAGGUAUGCGGGAAGGAAGAUGUAGACAUUGCUUACAAACAUUUCAAGGCAUUUUACGAAACUUUCUCCAGCAUAGACAAGAAGCUAAGCGUGGAUUAUUAGAGGAAGAUGGAGACCGAUGUAGCCAAACAAUCAUAUCUAUAUGAUCAAGGUUUGUUGGUGUUAACAGAAUUCUCAGAUGAAGUCGAGGCAUGAUUCCGUUCACCAUUACCAUUGGAUUUUGGGUACCCUUUCGACAUUUUCUGCUUCAGCUCGGACAACAGAGCCUGGUUCUCCUGGUUGAGCUGUUUCAAACUUUCAAUUCGUCUCUACAAGAUUGGUUUGAAUUAAGAGACCACACUGACCUGACUGCUGCCGUGCUGGUGCUGCCGUGAGAGGAGACUGGUGCUGCCGUGCUGGUGCUGCCGUGAGUGAGAUCU
Molecule: RNA transcript, 1957 nt
Organism: Pistacia vera
Lineage: Eukaryota; Viridiplantae; Streptophyta; Magnoliopsida; Sapindales; Anacardiaceae
Gene name: probable aspartyl aminopeptidase
Exons: 11
Source: RefSeq, a predicted model, not a curated record